This 232-nucleotide ribosomal RNA is filed under the name uncultured bacterium. Its description in RNAcentral is "partial 16S ribosomal RNA". It matches the Rfam family "Bacterial small subunit ribosomal RNA", at positions 545 to 776 of the family's 1533-position model. The record is from RNAcentral.
UCGGAAUUACUGGGCGUAAAGUGUGCGCAGGCGGCAGAGCAAGUCGAGUGUGAAAGCCCCGGGCUUAACUUGGGAAUUGCGCUCGAAACUACUUUGCUGGAGUGUGGCAGAGGAAGGUGGAAUUCCACGUGUAGCGGUGAAAUGCGUAGAGAUGUGGAGGAACACCAAUGGCGAAGGCAGCCUUCUGGGCCAACACUGACGCUCAUGCACGAAAGCGUGGGGAGCAAACGGG